RNAcentral lists this ribosomal RNA (253 nucleotides) under uncultured bacterium. RNAcentral's name for it is "partial 16S ribosomal RNA". It matches the Rfam family "Bacterial small subunit ribosomal RNA", at positions 524 to 776 of the family's 1533-position model. The record is from RNAcentral.
UACGUAGGGGGCAAGCGUUGUCCGGAUUUAUUGGGCGUAAAGAGCGCGUAGGCGGUCUGGUAGGUCCGUUGUGAAAACUCGAGGCUCAACCUCGAGACGCCGAUGGAAACCAUCAGACUAGAGUCCGGAAGAGGAGAGUGGAAUUCCUGGUGUAGCGGUGAAAUGCGCAGAUAUCAGGAAGAACACCCGUGGCUAAGGCGGCUCUCUAGUACGGUACUGACGCCGAGACGCGAAAGCGUGGGGAGCGAACAGG